UACAGAGGUCUCAAGCGUUGUUCGGAAUCACUGGGCGUAAAGCGUGCGUAGGCUGUUUCGUAAGUCGUGUGUGAAAGACGCGGGCUCAACCCGCGGACGGCACAUGAUACUGCGAGACUAGAGUAAUGGAGGGGGAACCGGAAUUCUCGGUGUAGCAGUGAAAUGCGUAGAUAUCGAGAGGAACACUCGUGGCGAAGGCGGGUUCCUGGACAUUAACUGACGCUGAGGCACGAAGGCCAGGGGAGCGAAAGGG
RNAcentral lists this ribosomal RNA (253 nucleotides) under uncultured bacterium. Its description in RNAcentral is "partial 16S ribosomal RNA". It matches the Rfam family "Bacterial small subunit ribosomal RNA", at positions 524 to 776 of the family's 1533-position model. The record is from RNAcentral.